CGGGGGGAGCAAGCGUUGUUCGGAUUUACUGGGCGUAAAGGGCGUGUAGGCGGCCACCGCAAGUCGACUGUGAAAUCUCCGGGCUUAACUCGGAAAGGUCAGCCGAUACUGCGGGGCUAGAGUGCAGAAGGGGCAACCGGAAUUCUCGGUGUAGCGGUGAAAUGCGUAGAUAUCGAGAGGAACACCUGCGGCGAAGGCGGGUUGCUGGGCUGACACUGACGCUGAAACGCGAAAGCUAGGGGAGCGAACGGGAUUAGAUACCCCGGUAGUCCUAGCCUUAAACGAUGAAUGCUUGGUGUCUGGGGUUUUAUAGUCCCCGGGUGCCGUCGCUAACGCUUUAAGCAUUCCGCCUGGGGAGUACGGUCGCAAGACUG
This 374-nucleotide ribosomal RNA is filed under the name uncultured organism. RNAcentral describes it as "bacterial SSU rRNA". It matches the Rfam family "Bacterial small subunit ribosomal RNA", at positions 526 to 896 of the family's 1533-position model. The record is from RNAcentral.